Molecule: ribosomal RNA, 235 nt
Filed under: uncultured Cyanobium sp.
Lineage: Bacteria; Bacillati; Cyanobacteriota; Cyanophyceae; Synechococcales; Prochlorococcaceae
Description: partial 16S ribosomal RNA
Rfam family: Bacterial small subunit ribosomal RNA
Source: RNAcentral
UGGGCUGUAAACCUCUUUUAUCAAGGAAGAAGAUCUGACGGUACUUGAUGAAUAAGCCACGGCUAAUUCCGUGCCAGCAGCCGCGGUAAUACGGGAGUGGCAAGCGUUAUCCGGAAUUAUUGGGCGUAAAGCGUCCGCAGGCGGUCUUACAAGUCUGUCGUUAAAGCGUGGAGCUUAACUCCAUUUCAGCGAUGGAAACUGUAAGACUAGAGUGUGGUAGGGGCAGAGGGAAUUC